GAUGAAGAACGUAGCGAAAUGCGAUAAGUAAUGUGACUUGCAGAAUUCAGUGAAUCAUCGAAUCUUUGAACGCACAUUGCGCCCCUUGGUAUUCCGAGGGGCAUGCCUGUUCGAGCGUCAUUAUAACCCCUCAAGCUCGGCUUGGUGUUGGGGCCUGCCGCACGGGCAGCCCUUAAAAUCAGUGGCGGUGCCAUCUGGCUCUAAGCGUAGUAAUUCUUCUCGCUAUAGAGUCCCGGUGGAUGCUUGCCAUUAACCCCCAAUUUCAAUGGUUGACCUCGGAUCAGGUAGGGAUACCCGCUGAACUUAAGCAUAUCAAUAAGCGGAGGA
Molecule: unclassified non-coding RNA, 327 nt
Filed under: soil metagenome
Description: partial contains 5.8S ribosomal RNA, internal transcribed spacer 2, and large subunit ribosomal RNA
Rfam family: 5.8S ribosomal RNA (bases 1-120)
Source: RNAcentral